This 354-nucleotide ribosomal RNA is filed under the name uncultured rumen bacterium. RNAcentral's name for it is "bacterial SSU rRNA". It matches the Rfam family "Bacterial small subunit ribosomal RNA", at positions 19 to 363 of the family's 1533-position model. The record is from RNAcentral.
UUGGCUCAGGAUGAACGCUGGCGGCGCACAUAAGACAUGCAAGUCGAACGAACGGAAGCUAUUCUUAUAGAUUAGUGAAAGUUAGUGGCGGACUGGUGAGUAAUGUAUAAGUAACCUGCCUAUUAGAGGGGAACAACAGUUGGAAACGACUGCUAAUACCGCAUAUGCCAUAUGGUUCGCAUGAACCGAGUGGGAAAGGAGCAAUCCGCUGAUAGAUGGACUUAUAUCUGAUUAGCUAGUUGGUGAGGUAACGGCUUACCAAGGCGACGAUCAGUAGCCGGACUGAGAGGUUGAACGGCCACAUUGGGACUGAGAUACGGCCCAGACUCCUACGGGAGGCAGCAGUGGGGAAUA